This is a long non-coding RNA of Rosa chinensis, 2682 nucleotides long. RefSeq lists it as uncharacterized. The transcript has 4 exons. The record is from RefSeq and is a predicted model, not a curated record. Lineage: Eukaryota; Viridiplantae; Streptophyta; Magnoliopsida; Rosales; Rosaceae.
GGUAUGUUCUUCCCUUUCUCUAUCCUCUCUCUCCCCGACGAAAUCCUCUGAGAUUAAUCUCUCUCUCUCUCUCCGGCGAAUACUCGCUCUUUCCACCAUCACGUCGGCGAAUGGAAUUGGAAUUGAAUCUCCGACGCACGAGCUAGAUCUCCGACGCGCGACGCCGAUUGGUAAGCCAUAAUAAGUCCUACGACAACCUCACACCCAAAUCGAUCGACCUCUUCUCCGCCUGUUACCUCUCAAUCCACUCUCAGACCAACGACCUCCUCACCUUCCUCGAGUCAACUCUCGAACCUGACUCCAUCUUUGCCAGUGACCACAAGAACUGGAAAUCCCGCUGCUUCGGCCGCAUCCAGUUCACCACCCUAGCCCACAAAGCCAUAGCUCAGUCUUUCUCCUCCUCCGCGGACCUUGGGGCAAGAAGUCUACACCCUCUUCCAAUUUCAACCCACCAGAGAUCCAGAUGGAGAUGAUGAACCAGCAUUCCAGUUUCGGGUUUUGGACUCAGCUAAUGUGGGAAAGAAGACAUCUUUCACUUGUUUUUUUUUUGUCGUCCUCUGAUAUUGAGAAAAAUGUGAAGCAGUAGACGCCAUGUCGCUUGGGACCAAACAUAUCAAUCCAACUCCCACAAGCUGUGGAGAAGAAUAAGCACCCACUACAACUUAGAGACCUCCGUCACAGAAAAUUAGGUAAGGAAUACCAGUGUGUGGUCAGAGCAGAAAGGGAGUGAAGAAAUGGGAGAUUUGUACGUUUUGGGUUCGGCGGGUUGAGUUAAUGCUCUGCUUUUGAAGUUGGAUAAUUGGAACUUUGUACUCUCUGAAAGCCCGACAUUUUGGAGAAGAGAAGAGAACGAGAGAGAGAGAGAGAGGGAAGAACAGACCCAAAAAGAAGAAAAAGAAAAUCUGACUUUUGAGGAUAGUUUGGGAAGUUCAAAAAGACUUGAGAUGAAAUAUUAUUAAAAAAAUAAAAAUGGGUGUGAUAUGCAAUUUUGGGGGUGCAUUCCCGCCUAUCAUGGUGGCAAAAUUUUAAGCUCAACUUAAAAUCCCGCCCACUUUACUUUCACAUUUCCCCUCAUCGAUUCAAUGAUAAUAAAAGAAAGGGAUAGUUUCCACUAUUGUUGAAUUACUCCCUCUCUCUCUCUCUCUCUGUUCCUCCCUUCCGGCCUAUCGAAGGAGCUCAAAUCCAAAGUCCGAGCAAUGCAAAUUCGCUUAGCACGAAUGAUAUGAGAAUGAACACGCACGAAGUGUUAAAGAGACGAGCCCAUCACAUGCAGUUGUAGUAAUCGACAGUGGUGGAGGAGUCAGAGUCAUCAGGACGCAGAGCAAGGUCCAGAGGCAAAAAGUGAGGCGACCCAAUUCCAGGUAUACACAGACACUUUUAAGUUUCAUCAUCGCUUUGUCAUUUGUGUUUUUCCAGUUCUCCCUUUUAUUCUGCUUAUCGUGAGAGAGAAUCUAACCUGGGUCUACUUUCUGUUAUGGCCAGACCGGUCCUAUUCCGGUCGAACUCCUCCUAGACCAUCAAACCGCUGCUUUAAGUUUGCGUCUGAAGCAGUCCUGCAUCUCUGUUAUUUCCGUGAUUCUCAAUUUGGUAUACUGUUUCUUUUUGUUUCCUCUCUUCAUAGGUUUAUAGAGCUUUCAAGCUUAGAUGGAUGCUAUUACGGGCGUCUCAUGAUCGGACAAUCAUGUAUAUGUAGUAUAGGUACAAACUUCUUUUUAUAUCAAUUUGGGUUCAGUCAUGAUGAAUUAUUGUUGUUUAAUCUUUGGCUUGUGUUCCGUUUGUCAAUUCAGAUAUGUUCAUGAUUUUCUUAAAUUUGGAGCUAAAUAAUAAACCUUCAAUGGCUUCUAACAAUUCACAAUACCAAUAAUCUCAAUUCGGAAGUAAAUUGGUUAAAUGGUGAUAAUAUGAUUGUUUUUAGUUUUAUAAUAUUGAAAGUGUCAUUGGAUUCUAUGCAUCAACGUUACUGUAUUAUUUCUUGUCAAAUGCUAAAUUUGUGGAUUUUGUGUAUUUGAUUGAGGGUUUUUUGUGUUUCAAGGCCAAAAACUCAGAAAUAUUGUAUUUGACUGCAAUCUCUGGCUCUGUAGGCAUUGUAUGACAGGUCAUUACUGCCAUCAAAAGCAGUAAUGAUUGGAAUUAGGUUCGCUUUCUACUCUGUAUGAUCAAUAUGGCAUUGUGAUUGGAAUGUAGAUUAAUGCAUCUGGUCUCUAAGUUGUGUCUGUUUAAUUGAUAUCUGCCUUAGUUGAUUUAUCAGUUUCCAUAUGGGUUCUUGUUUUAUGUCUGACAGUUUUGGCUUAUGAUCAGAAUCUACAAAUGGAAUUCUGAUCCAGCUCAAUAUGAAAGUUUAUGGAAUGUAAUCAAGUGAUUCACUGUUUAUGGGAAUGUAAUCAAUUGAUUCACUGCUGGAGCUGAUUUAAGUGAAAAUGUCGUGCAUUGGUGGAUGAAAUUAAUGCACUGAUGGAUCCUUUGAAUCUAUCAAAUGGAGACAUGUUGGUAGAGAAUGCAAUUAUGCUUCACACAGAAUUGCCGAGGAAGCAGAACUGCUGUGGCUUAGUUAUGCUCUUGAUGUAGAUGCUUCAUAUGUUUGCUAAUGUCUGGGCGUAGACCUCAAUUUUGAGGCCAUAUUAGCCCCUAUGAUGUAAUUCUGUUAUGUAAUUACUCUGCUUUUAUCAAUGAAAUAUCUUAUUC